This is a long non-coding RNA of Phyllostomus discolor (pale spear-nosed bat), 1471 nucleotides long. RefSeq lists it as uncharacterized. The record is from RefSeq and is a predicted model, not a curated record. The transcript is spliced from 3 exons. Lineage: Eukaryota; Metazoa; Chordata; Mammalia; Chiroptera; Phyllostomidae.
AUAUAUUCCAAACAAGAAAACGAGAUAAAACCUCAGAGAAAGACCUUAAUAAAAUGAAGGUAAGUGAUUUAUCUGAUAAAGAGUUCAAAAUAACAAUCAUAAAAAUGCUCACUGAAAACCACAGAAGAAUACAUGAACAAAGUGACUAUUUCAAUGAAAGACAAAAAAUAUAAGAAGAUACCAAAUAGAAUUCAGAGUUGAAAAAUCCAGUAGCUGAACUGAAAAAAUAUGAUAGAGGGGUUCAAGAUCAGAAGAAAGAAUACGCAAAUUCAAAAGUUGGAGUAGUGGAACUCAUCCAAUCAGAGGGGAAAAAAAAGGAGAAAAAGGAAAAGGAAUGAAGAUUAAGAGACUUAUCAAGCAGACCAAUAUUUGUAUCAUAGGGGUCCCAGAAGGAUAAGAGAAAAAGGAGAAAAACACUUGAACAACAAAUAGUUGAAAACGUCCUAAACUGGGAAAUCAAAAUGACAUCAAAAUCCAAAUAAGAUAAAUAAAAAACAACAACCAUACCAAGGCACAUUAUAAUUAAAGUGUGAAAAGUUAAAAGAGAAAAACCUCAAAAGCAGCAAGAAAAAAACAACUUCUCAUAGACACAGGGAACCCCCAUAAGACCAUGAGCAGACUUUCCAGAAGAAAUUCUACAGGCUAGAAGGGAGUGGCACGAUAUAUUCAAAGCGCUGAAAGAAAACUUCCUAGCAAGAAUACUCUAUCUGGCAAAGUUGUUCUUCAUAAUUGAAGGAGAGAUAAAGAGUCUUCCAAACAAGUAACUAAAAAUAUUCAUCACUAUUAGACUGGCCCUACAAAAAAUGUGAAAGAAACUUCUUUAAGUUAAAACAAAAAAAUACAAGUUAGUAACAGUAAAAAAUAAAAAUAUCAAUCUCAAUGGUAAAGGUAAAUAUCAUAAACUCAACAGUAAAAUUCAAAAUAACCUAAUGCUUUGAAGGCGGUAGGUUAAUCACUUAUAAAGCUAAUAUAAAGGUUAAAAACCGAAAGUAUUAAAAAUAACUACAACUACAAUAAUUUGUUGAUACACAAGGUAAAAUUAUGUAAAAUGUGACAUGAAAAGCAUAAAACAUGGGAGGAGUAAAAAUGCAGAGUUCCAGAAUGCAUUCAAAUUUAAGUUGUUAUAAACCUAAAACAGACAUGUUCUAAGUUGUUGUGUGUAAGCCCUUGGUAACCAAAAUGCAAAAACCUAUAGUAGAUACACUAAAGACAAAGAGAAAAAAAUAUGAACAUAGUAGUAUAGAAAAUCAACUGAGCUACCUACCCAGUGCCUUUAAGUGAGUCUUAAAAUUGUUAUUUAACUUGAUACAUAAGAUAUAUACUAUAGAAUAUUCAAAUGCAAAUAAGGCUAUCUUGAUUACAACUGGACAACAGGAAAGUAAUAUGCUAUUCACAAAAAAAACACAAAAACCUUAAAAUACCAAGUUACUGCUUAUUAAAAAACACGAAAAAAUAAAACAAAAAAUGAGAA